GUAUUGCUGAGGAGUCUCAUAAUAGGACGAAACGGCCGUCCAGUGC
Molecule: non-coding RNA, 46 nt
Organism: Schistosoma mattheei
Lineage: Eukaryota; Metazoa; Platyhelminthes; Trematoda; Strigeidida; Schistosomatidae
Source: Rfam